Molecule: long non-coding RNA, 412 nt
Organism: Manis pentadactyla (Chinese pangolin)
Lineage: Eukaryota; Metazoa; Chordata; Mammalia; Pholidota; Manidae
Exons: 3
Source: RefSeq, a predicted model, not a curated record
UAUGACUGAAAGGAGAAGUGCACAGGGCCCCAUGAAGGUCUCAAGGAUCCAGAUGUGGGUUGAUCUGAUAAAAGCCAGUUGGUGGUUCAAACCAUCCUCUCCCUAGCAACAAGGUUCCCGCCGUAAAGCGAGUGGCCCUGGGUGUAAGGAACGUGGUGCCGUAAAGCCGUGAGUGUCGUAAGCCAGGGGGCGGUGCGGAGAGAAGCGGAGGACGUGGCUCGAUCAUUCAGGCGGCCGCAGGAGGAGCAGACGGAUGCCCCCAGGUGUGAGCGCAGACCGCAGUCGAGCCCGCGGCGCCGUAACAGACUGCUUUGCAUUUGGCCUGUGCCAACGGCCAUGCAGAAGUGGUAACUGUCCUGGUACAGAGAAAAUGUGAGCUUAACCUCUGUGACAACCUAGAGAGGACACCCCU